CCCCUGAACAGGGUGCCUGAAUUCCACUGUAUGCGGCACAGAGGGGAGCUGCUCAGCCAUGCUGUGAGAAUGCUCUACAAUAAGCUGAUAGGAAUAGUUAGGUACUAUCUAGGUGUUUUUUAUUGUUAUUUUCUUUGGUUAGGCAUUUCAUUUGCUCAAGAUGUUGAGUGAGGUGUUACAACAGUGUUUCCUGCCCCAUUCAUCUCUGCAUUCUGGAAGUGGGAUGGAAGAAGCACAGCCAUGUGUAGACAUAGCAGAUGGGUCAGGGAUAACGAGCACCAUCAAUUAUAAGCAGCACCAAAGGCAAAUCCUGCCUGACCAACCUCGUGGCCUUCUGUAAUGGCAUAACUGCAUCAGUGGACAGGGGAAGAACCACUGAUGGCAUCCAUCUGGACUUCAGUCAGGCCUCUGACAUGGCAGCCCACAGCAUCCUUCACUCCAAAUUGGAAAGAUACAGAUUUAUGGGUUGUCUAUUUGACGAAUGAAGAAUUGGUUUGCAAGAUCAUACGCAGAGAUUGGUGAUCAGUGGUUAAUGGUCCGUCUGGAUAGCACUGAUGAAUAGUUUCCCUCAGUACUGAUGCUCUUUAAUAACUUCAUGAAUGACAUUGAGAUGGGGUGCACCCUUGGAUGACACCGAGCUGUGUGGUGCAGUCAACAUGCCUGAAGGACAGGAUGCCUGAGAGUCCUGAACUGGCUUGAGCAGUGAGCCAGAGCACUGACCUCGUGAGGUUCAGUGAAUCCAAGUGCAAGGUCUUGCAUCUGGAUUAUGGUAACCCCCACUAUCAGUACAGGCUUGGGGAUGGAAGGAUAGAUGGAUGGAUAGCCCUGCUGAAAGGGACCUGGGAGUACUGGUGAAUGGCAGGCUGGACACGAGCCAGCAAUGUGUCCUCUUAGCUCAGAAAGCCAACAGGAUCCUGGGCUGCAUCAAAAGAAGCAUGGCCAGUGGGGCAAGUGAGGUGAUCCUGUGCUGGUGAGACCUCAUCUGAAGUUCUGUGUCCAGAUGUGGAGUCCUCAGUAGAGGAAAGACAUGGAGCACAUUCAGAGAUAAGCCACAAAAACAAUUCAAGGGAUGGAACACCUCCUUUAUGAAGACAGACUGAGAGAGAUGGGGCUUCAGCCUGGAGAAGGCUCCAAGGUGACCUAAUAGUGUCUUCAGUAUCUAAACAGAGGCUGUAAAAAAGAAGAGGAUGGACUCUUUAGCAAGGUCUGUUGUAGUAUGACAAGGGGAAAUGGUUUCAAACUAAAAAAGCAGAGAUUUAGACUGGAUACAAGGAAAAAGUUUUUUAUUAUAAGAGUGGUGAAGCACUGGAACAGAUUGCCCGGAGAAGCAGUGAAAGCCUCAUCCCUGGAAAAUUCAAGGCCAGGCCAGGCAGGGCUCUGAGCAACCUGAUCUAGCUGUAGAUGUCCCUGUUUGUUGCAGGAAGAUUGGACUAGGUGACCUUUGAAGGUCCCUUCCAACUCAAGCAGUUCUAUGACCAUUUAUUGUGGACAGUGUAGGGCACUUUCUGCAGAUGUGCAUGCAAUAUAUAGAGAACAUACAAAAUCGUGCUUGUAAUAAAAAUGGUGUCAGGAGACUGAAAAAAAACCCAGUUAAACCAACUAUAAAAAGUUCUGUAGUUAAAAUUCAGGCUAUUCAAACAAUUCCUUUAUUAAACAUUUUUUAUCAAAAAGCCAAAAUGAAAUACUUAUUUUAUUUUUUUUACAAACUCUGCUUUUAGUUCUAAGUGAUCAUACAGCUGUGAAAGACCCUAAUAGAGAUAUUUACCUCUUUUCCCCGCUUCUGUUGGUGGACAGAUGCUUUUUUCCAUCUGUGUUCAGAUGAUAAGCAUUAUUAGUAGUAAGCCUUCCCUGUUUUGGUCUCAGUAGGGUUACUGCCUUUCCAAUUACCCUGUCCUGCUGUUGUAAACUGAUAAACUUACCACACUGCCUUCCUGCAUUUCCACUAGGGAGUCCGUUACCUGUUCUAGGAAAAAUAGGUUAAUUAGAGGCUUUUGAGGUCAAAGAAAUGGCCUUGAUUUGGGAAAUGAAGGAAAAAACUGUCUUUCAUGCUAUCAUUUUUCUUGACAUUACAAUGAGAUAAUGAUUUAUGAGUUUUGACAGUACUUCAUUAAAAAUAGCUGAGCUCCUGUUAUCCAUUACUGUCACCUCUGAUUAGUUUGCAUGUGGCUACGACUGUAUUCUCCCUACAUAAUUUAUCUCCUAGAAAAAAAAAAAUCACAUCUGUGAAUGGAAAAUAGAAUAUAAUUUUGUUUGAUAUUUUAACUACCCAGUUAAGGAAGACUCAGAGUUGCCAGGAGAACAAAUUUUGUAUGUGACAAAAAAACUCUGUCUUUCUACUUAACUAGAUAUAAUAAGCAGAGAUCGAAUCGAGCUAUUUGCCUAUCAUGGAGUUCUACACAUUCUUUGGAAACAUUUGGAGCUGGAGACCCCCAUAGCUGGGAAACCAGAUUAAACAGAUGAUGGGACAAAUCCCACACUAAAUUCAUUAUCGUUCGAUGCAGAGGGCUCUCAUGAAAUUUACUGCAUCCUUGCCCUUCCAGCUGGAAAACAGUUGCAGACCAGGCAAGAAGCUCAGCAUGGGAUUUCAGAGAAAAUAAAGCACGGAACUAUUUUUCUGUUAAGUGGUAAACAAGUAAAUGAAAAAAAUAGAUGCGUGAGACAUGCCUGAGUUAUGAUUUUCACUAGGCAGCCAGACAGAUCAUUUAAGGAUUUAUAACCUUGUCACCUAUUUUAGUGUGAAAUUCAGAUGAUUGCUGCACAACCAUUACAGGCCUCAUGCAGCACCAAAGGGUGGCACUGUAAUGACAGCCACACGCCAAUUCAAAGGACUCUCAAUAAAUCCACGCAGCUUAAUGUGCACUGAAGAAAGCUGAAUUCAGAUUGCUGCGUUCUACUGAAUGUAAGUAAGAGGUCAUUGGCAAACAUUGACAGGAGUCAUGGAAUCAUGGAAUGGCUUGGGUUGGAAGGGACCCUAAGGCUCAUCAUGUCCCAACCCCCAUACCUCUGGAAGGGCUGCCAGCCUCUAGGUCACAUACUAGAGCAGUUUGUCCAGGGCUCACCCAACCUGGCCUUGAAUACCUCCAGGGAUGGGGCAUCCACAGCCUCUGUGGCAGCCUGUUCCAGCCCCUCACCACUCUCAGUAAAGAACUUCCCUGACAUCUCAUCUAAAUCUCCCUUCCUUUUGUUUAAAACCAUUCCCCAUUUCCUAUCACUAUCUACCAGUGUAAAGCACAAAUGAGGAGCAAGUUUUUAGGUGGAAUGAUGAUUUCUAUUUCUCAAAGAAGACAAAAGUACUACGUCAAGUGUCUUUGAAAAAUAAAAGUUCUUGGACUUGA
Long non-coding RNA from Tympanuchus pallidicinctus (lesser prairie-chicken), 3335 nucleotides. RefSeq lists it as uncharacterized. NCBI's taxonomy places the organism in Eukaryota, Metazoa, Chordata, Aves, Galliformes, Phasianidae. The transcript has 2 exons. The record is from RefSeq and is a predicted model, not a curated record.